Molecule: ribosomal RNA, 271 nt
Filed under: Micrococcus luteus
Lineage: Bacteria; Bacillati; Actinomycetota; Actinomycetes; Micrococcales; Micrococcaceae
Description: partial 23S ribosomal RNA
Rfam family: Bacterial large subunit ribosomal RNA (bases 77-234)
Source: RNAcentral
CAUCCCGAACCCCGUCUUUGACGGGGUCGGUGGUGGGGAGCGCGGGACCUGAACCGGGGAGGCAAGCGCAUUAACGGGUGUGACGCAGGAAGGUAGCCGGGCCGGGCAAUGGAAAUGACCUGGUCUAAGGGUGUAGGGCUGCCGGUAGGUAAAUCCGCCGGCUGUAUGCCUGAGACCUGAUGGGCGCCCACGUGGUGGGUGAUCCGGUGAUCCUAUGCUGCCUAGAAAAGCAUCGGCGCGAGGUUCAAACUGCCCGUACCCUAAACCGACA